Molecule: long non-coding RNA, 2238 nt
Filed under: Sus scrofa (pig)
Lineage: Eukaryota; Metazoa; Chordata; Mammalia; Artiodactyla; Suidae
Description: lncRNA (ENSSSCG00035007748.1)
Source: RNAcentral
UUUUUCUUUUUUUUUUUUUUUUGGCUUUCGUCUAUUUAGGGCCGCACCCAAGGCAUAUGGAGGUUACCAAGCUAGGGGUCUAAUCAGAACUGUAGCCACUGGCCUACGCCAUAGCCACAGCCACACAGAAUCUGAGCCGUGUCUUCAACCUACACCACAGCUCAUGGCAACACUGGAUCCUCAACCCACUGAUGUGGCUGUGGCUGUGGCAUAGGCUCCAAUUCGACCCCUGGCUGGGGAACUUUCAUAUGCCACAGAUGUGGCUAUAAAAAAGAAAGAAAAAAAAAAAAAAAGGGGAUUUCUGAGAAUGAGAGGAUAUUACAGAGAUAAUAAUUCUCACUGAUUAUUCCCUGAGCUUCCCUACAUACUGACUCUUUUUUGAAAUUAGCCAAGGACAUAUGGUGAGUUCUGGUGAAUGCACUAUAAAAGAUGUGUCACAUUCAGCCAAAGCAAAGUAUGUGUGUGUGUGUGUGUGCGCACAUGUGCGUGUGAAUACUCCCCUUUCUAUGACAUGCCAUCUAUAUGAGAUCACUAGCUAUUGUUAUUCAAACAAGAAAUUGACCUAAGGCUACUAAGUAUUUUUAAGAAAAUAUGUUCAAAUAAAUUAUAUACCUGCAAUGAGCAAUUCUUUUUAGCUCUUAAGUAAUUUGUGGGCCUUCACAACUGCACCAGUAGACUAUGAUUAAACCUGUGCACCUCACAAGAAUAACGCUCCCUCUCAGACUCAUCUCAGUUGUGGUUAUGGAUGAGGAAAAAAAACUUUCGCAAGGGUGGAACCAGGUGUCACAAAAUAAAACAAACAAGGGAGUUUUUCCCAGGGAACAGAACCAAGUGUACAGCUAAGUAUACAGAUCACUAAUCUUUCAGAAAGUAAACAAGAGCCAUCAUCCACAUCAAAAACAGGAUAUUACCAGCAUUUUAGAAGCCAUUCUUCUGCCAUUUUUCACUCAUUUGUCUUUAUUUCUAAGAUUAUGGAUUAACUUUGCCUGCCUGCUUUGAAUCUUAUAUGCAUUGACUCGACACAGUAUGUACACUUUGGUUUCUACUUUCUUUCCUUCAUCAUUACAUUUGUGAGAUUUAUCCAUACUGCUGCAUAAAGACAUAGUUUGUCCUUUUUUUUGUGAGUUAAAAAUACAUUUUUAAAAAUUUCUACUAAAGUAUAGUUGGUUUACAAUGUUCCUUCAAUUUCUGCUGUACAACAAAGUGACCCAGUGAUAUAUAUAUAUAUAUCAUAUAUAUAUACAUACACACACAUUUUUUUUUCAUACUAUCUUCUAUCGUGUUCUAACCCGAGAUUGGACAUAGUUCCCUGUGCUAUAGAGUAGGACCACAUUGAUUAUAAUUCUAAAUGUAAUAGUUUGCAUCUACCAACGCCGAAUGAACUCUCUACCCCACUUCCUCACCCCCUACCCUCCACCCCCAGCAACCACAAACCUGCUCUCCAUGUCCAUGAUCUUUUCUGUUUUUGUAGACAGGAUCGUAUGUGACAUAUUUUAGAUUCCACAUAUGAAGUGAUAUGAUAUGGCAUUUGUUUUUCUCUUUCUGACUUACUGUAGUAUGAGAAUCUAUAGUUGCAUCCAUGUUGCUGCAAAUGGCAUUAUUUUUUUCUUUUUAUGGCUAAGCAGUAUUCCAUUGUAUAUAUGUACCACAUCUUCUUAAUCCAUUCAUGUGUUGAUGGACACAUAGUUUGUCCAUUUCCAUUGCUCUGUAUUAUUGCCUUUUGUGAAUAGACCACUAUUUAUUUAUAUAUUCUACUCAUGAUUAACAUUCUUAUUCAUUUGGGUGAACAUACUACAUAAUUAUAUUGCACUUAAACCUAGAGACGAACUGCUGAGUUGUAGGAAAUGCAUGUGUUAAUAAGAUUUAGUAAACACCGCAAAAUGUUCUUCAAACUAGUUAUGCAAAUUUGUAUACUCAUCUAGUAGCAUAUGAAAGCUCCACUUGCUCCAAAAUGCUGACUUCCUCUUUUACAUUCUAUCUCUUCUUGUUCAACUUACCUUUGCUUCUUUCUUUUUGCUUGCCCUCCCCUCCUCUCUUAUCUUGUCAUAGGAUCCUCCAUUCAUUUAAUCUCAUGUGUCUUAUGAAUUCUGUUCCCACUUCCUGAGAAGUACUUUCUUUCCUUCUUUUCUCCUGCUAAUGAGAACUUCUAAAUUUUUAAGGAGGAAGAUUAUCCUAGCAAUGCAAGGUGGAAGAGGAAUUCCUGACACCUGGGAAAACUCACCUUAUUACAAAAAUGAG